AAAUUGAAGAGUUUGAUCAUGGCUCAGAUUGAACGCUGGCGGCAGGCCUAACACAUGCAAGUCGAACGGUAACAGGAAGCAGCUUGCUGCUUCGCUGACGAGUGGCGGACGGGUGAGUAAUGUCUGGGAAACUGCCUGAUGGAGGGGGAUAACUACUGGAAACGGUGGCUAAUACCGCAUAACGUCGCAAGACCAAAGAGGGGGACCUUCGGGCCUCUUGCCAUCAGAUGUGCCCAGAUGGGAUUAGCUAGUUGGUGAGGUAACGGCUCACCAAGGCGACGAUCCCUAGCUGGUCUGAGAGGAUGACCAGCCACACUGGAACUGAGACACGGUCCAGACUCCUACGGGAGGCAGCAGUGGGGAAUAUUGCACAAUGGGCGCAAGCCUGAUGCAGCCAUGCCGCGUGUAUGAAGAAGGCCUUCGGGUUGUAAAGUACUUUCAGCGGGGAGGAAGGUGUUGUGGUUAAUAACCGCAGCAAUUGACGUUACCCGCAGAAGAAGCACCGGCUAACUCCGUGCCAGCAGCCGCGGUAAUACGGAGGGUGCAAGCGUUAAUCGGAAUUACUGGGCGUAAAGCGCACGCAGGCGGUCUGUCAAGUCGGAUGUGAAAUCCCCGGGCUCAAC
Molecule: ribosomal RNA, 623 nt
Filed under: Salmonella enterica
Lineage: Bacteria; Pseudomonadati; Pseudomonadota; Gammaproteobacteria; Enterobacterales; Enterobacteriaceae
Description: bacterial SSU rRNA
Rfam family: Bacterial small subunit ribosomal RNA
Source: RNAcentral